GGAGCCAUGUGCUGCCAGGCCUGUACUGUAGCCAUCUUCACUUCUUGCUUGUUUUGUGGCCUUCCUGCCUUCAGUCUGUCAUCAGAAACUGAAACACAUGCUUGGUUGGACUGGGGUCAGAUUAAUGACUUAGCCAGUCAGCGAUAUUUGACUAUUUGGACAUCAAUAUCGUUCCUUCACUUCUCUGUAUGUUUAGAUUGAAUUCCUGCUCUGAUGUCCUGGGGGUCUUUGUAUGCAACGAGCUAGAUGAAGUCAGCCAAAAGACCAUUAAAGCACAACGCUUCAUGCUGACAGUAAAAAUAGCAGUCUCUUAUGCAGAGUAAAAUCAAAGAAAGCAAAAAACAGUGUUCUUACUGCACAAUAUAGAUGACUGCUGUUUUUCUGUGUCUUCAGCAUACAUUACUGCGUAACUGAGGGCAAGAGGGUUAUCACCGAUUGACCGAACAGCUCUUUGUUAUUUAUAAGUGCCUCGUCCUAUCGAUAUCCUUUCUCACUCUGGUUGUGUGCACAAUGAAUAAUUACAACAGAGUUUUGUACACCCAGCUCAACCAGAAACCCCUCCUGUCUCCUGACUUGUCCUCCUUUCUUCGCUCCUCAUCCUCCGUCCUCCACGGAGAUCCCUACCCUUUCAUAUGCAAAUCCCUUCUGAGAUCCCAGAGGCUGUUAGGUGUGGAAGAGACUGAAGCCGAGCUAAACAGAUGGAUCAGCUGACGAGGAGAACCAUCCUGAGAGAUGACAGAUGGUAUGCUUUUACUGUGUUGGCAGUUUGUUCGGGAUCAUUUCAUGCUGAAAAAUAAAGCCGCUGCCAAUCAGAUGCUUUCCACAUGGUAUUGCAUGGUGGAUCAAAAUUUAGUUCCAUAAAUUUUCACAUGAUCCCAAACACCACUGGCUGAAAUUCUGACGAGGGUUCAGCAAAGAGCAGAUGGACCAACUGAAGGUCCAGAUCCAUCUAUCAGUGUCAUUCCUGCAGGGGACGAACUAAUCAGAGCAAUCUUUGUAAUCACCUACUUCCAAGGUGCACGGAGAAGAACAUCGAUUUUAAAGAGGUUAAAGCCUCAGUAACUCUUGGGUCAUCUGAGGAGACACCGCUAUGGAUCUGGAUUAUUCUUCUGAAUCUGAUUUGGAUGAGGUGAUAGCUUUUGUGUAUCAGUUACUGUUGCACCUCCUCCCUAAUGUGUGCAUGUGGGAUUCGGUAUUCACCCGUGGCGUGUGUGGUGUGAUGAGGUUGAAUCAGCCUUACAAUGUAAAGAGAUGUGAUUCAUUUUCUUUUUAUCUCUUUUUGCAAAAUCUCAGAGACUAUUCAAGUUUUUUAAGUACAUUUGCUACUUUUUUACUUGAUAAUUUGUUGCUAUAAUAUUACCACCAUCACCACCCACCUCAGCUUUCUAAAUUAGCACACUAUGAAAGAUUUUUACUGGCAUAUUUAGCAAGCUCUCAUGCUGUUAUAUUUUUCAUAGCAACUGGAUAUUAUUUACUGUUGUUUUCAGCAUUUUUCCAAUCAAGCUCACACAGUAAUAGUGCUGCUGAGUCAGACUGGGAAUGGGCAAAAAACAAUCUAUUUCCUGCUGUAUUUCUGUCCCAGGCGCUCUAUAUCUGUCAAUAAUAAUAAUGAUAUACAGUCAACACCUACGAGUAUGAUUUAUGCCGUAAACAGAAUAAAAAAUGAGAGUCUGAACAAAGCGUUGGUUGUAUUUGUUGCCUUAGUGUACAAGUCUGUGACACGUUAAGCCAGCAUUAAAGCCAUC
Molecule: long non-coding RNA, 1745 nt
Organism: Oreochromis niloticus (Nile tilapia)
Lineage: Eukaryota; Metazoa; Chordata; Actinopteri; Cichliformes; Cichlidae
Exons: 4
Source: RefSeq, a predicted model, not a curated record